AGCAAAGAAAGUUUUAGAAGAAUCAGUCAGCCAAACACCAUGAGUAUGAUAAAAAAUCAGUAAGCUUGUCCUAAAGAACGAUAGUAAUAAAAAAAGAUAAUGUCACGUUUGAUUUAAAGGACCAAUUGGAUAGAGGUAAAAGUUCUAGGAUUUGCAUCCCCUUUAUAAGAGAAAAUGUCAAAAAUGAACAAGAAACAUGCAAUAGAUUCUUCUACUAUAAAUACAGCAGAAAUCCAUAUGAGAGAAUGUAUACUCAUAAGUUCCUCAUUCAAACAUAAAUGCUAACUCUCAACUAAAAUUCUUAGAUUAUCUAGCCUUCCACACAAGCCAACAACAAAAAUCCCGUUCAAAUGUAGAGCAACCAAACGCAUCUCAUAAGCUGAAUUUUAAAUUUACUUUAUCAUCUAACUUCCUCAAUGUUAGUUUUUCCAUUUUGUAAUUCCCCCCCAAUUGAAAUUCAUGUAGUAUACAUGUUCCAACUCACACUCAACUGAAAACAAAUUAACACAAAUAAAUUGAACCAAACAUUUGGACAAAAUAACUUACAUUAACCUACAAAAACUAGAAAAAAAAUAAAAUAAAAU
This 584-nucleotide unclassified non-coding RNA is filed under the name Hevea brasiliensis (rubber tree). The record is from RNAcentral. Lineage: Eukaryota; Viridiplantae; Streptophyta; Magnoliopsida; Malpighiales; Euphorbiaceae.